RNAcentral lists this long non-coding RNA (980 nucleotides) under Bos indicus x Bos taurus (hybrid cattle). RNAcentral's name for it is "lncRNA (ENSBIXG00000013830.1)". The record is from RNAcentral. Lineage: Eukaryota; Metazoa; Chordata; Mammalia; Artiodactyla; Bovidae.
UUUCAAUCCUUGAGACCAGGAAUUCUCAACUGUUUCCUUUCCAAGUUUAACCACAGCAGUUCCUGAAAAAAAUAAAUUAAAAAGUCUGUUUUGAAUAAAUAGUGUUCCGCUUCACAACAAGCUUGAAAAUCUCCGAUAUAGGCGAACAGCCAGCCUCCUCAGAGGUGAGACCUCUGUGGUUCCAAGGGGCUAGGGCCUUACUGGGGCACUCAUGGACAUCUCUCUCGGGUGGGUGAGGGACGGGAGUCAAGCAGCCUCUUGCUUAGCCCAGAGCUCUUGCUUCCAUGCCACACGCUCUCUUAUUCCAGCCCCUGACACUUAAUUCAAAUGGAGCUGGUUCCCCUCUUGUUUGAUUUUUUUCUACCUGUUCGGGAGCACUGUCCUUUCGAAACUAGGUUCACAGGAUCCUGCAUGGAGCUGUGGCUUUAGAGGAAGAUAGCGCCGGGAGCGCAGAGGAGAGAGACUGCCGAGGUGUAACGUCUGGACAGCUGCCUCAGGCCUCUGCCUCCUUGCAGUGACAGCCUAAAGUUCCGAUAAGCUCCCUGGAUCACUUAUUAUUUCUUCUGGGCCUCCUGCUUAUUCUUUGGUGAAGCCUCUGCUUCUGUACUGUUGGAGGACUGGGGGAGGGCGUCACGGAGCUGAAGGUUUGCAUAGCUUUGGGGUCCUGACGGGUCCUGCUCUCUGUCCCUCAGGUUCCCAGCUCCUCCCUACAGAACAGGCUCCCCACCUCCGGGAAGGAGAGCCACAGGUUCUGAGCAACGCACUGGUGUCCAGGACCCUCGCGCUAUUCCAACGAGGGCUGCCCCAGAGCAUCCCCCGCCUCCCCGUUGCGAAGCUGAAGACGGAAAAAUCACAGUAAGUCCCCUAUAUAUGAAUGAGUUUCAUUCUGAAAGCAAACUCCAGCAAAGUUAGCCUAGGUACUAAGGAAUGGAGUCUUUCCUACUGUAUCAGGAAACAAGGGUGUCACAGUCAGCAGCGAG